This 491-nucleotide ribosomal RNA is filed under the name uncultured Alphaproteobacteria bacterium. Its description in RNAcentral is "bacterial SSU rRNA". It matches the Rfam family "Bacterial small subunit ribosomal RNA", at positions 439 to 916 of the family's 1533-position model. The record is from RNAcentral. Lineage: Bacteria; Pseudomonadati; Pseudomonadota; Alphaproteobacteria.
CCGGGGAGAAUGAUGGACGUUACCCGGAGAAGAAGCACCGGCUAACUCCGUCGCCAGGCAGCCGCAGGUAAGAGCGGAGGGCUGCAAAGCGCUUGUUCGGAAUCACUGGGCGUAAAGGGCGUCGUAGUCUGGCUUGGUUAGUCAGAUGUGAAAGCCCAGGGCUCAACUCUGGAACUGCAUUUGAUACUCCCAAGCUAGAGGUCGCAAUAGUAGGAGAGUGGAAUACCCAGUGUAGUAGGUGAAAUUCGUAGUAUAUUGGGUGGAACACCUGUGGUCGAAAGCCGGCUCCUCUGGUUCGAUUCUGACGCUGAGGCGCGAAAGCCGUGGGGUAGCAAACAGGUAGUUAGAUCACCACUGGUAGUCCACGCCCUAAGACGAUGUGUGCUAGGCGUCGGGGGGUCUUGCCCUUCGGUGCCGGAGCUAACGUGUUAAGCAGCACCGCUCUGGGGAGUACGGUCGCAUAUGAUUAAAACUCAAAUGAUACUUGACGG